This 490-nucleotide ribosomal RNA is filed under the name uncultured bacterium. RNAcentral describes it as "bacterial LSU rRNA". It matches the Rfam family "Bacterial large subunit ribosomal RNA", at positions 373 to 861 of the family's 2925-position model. The record is from RNAcentral.
CCGUAUGCGAAAACAUCGCUGUGGUACUAAGUUAGCGAAAAAGUAGGGCGGGGCACGUGAAACCUUGUCUGAACAUGGGGGGACCAUCCUCCAAGGCUAAAUACUCGUGAUCGACCGAUAGUGAACCAGUACCGUGAGGGAAAGGCGAAAAAGAACCCCGGGAGGGGAGUGAAAUAGAUCCUGAAACCGCAUGCAUACAAACAGUGGGAGCCGACUUGUUCGGUGACUGCGUACCUUUUGUAUAAUGGGUCAGCGACUUACGUUGUGUUGCGAGCUUAACCGAAUAGGGGAGGCGUAGCGAAAGCGAGUCUGAUAAGGGCGUUUAGUAGCACGGCGUAGACCCGAAACCGGAUGAUCUAUCCAUGGCCAGGAUGAAGGUGCCGUAACAGGUACUGGAGGUCCGAACCCACUAAAUGUUGAAAAAUUAGGGGAUGAGCUGUGGAUAGGGGGUGAAAGGCUAAACAAAUCCGGAAAUAGCUGGUUCUCCCCG